GAUGAACGCUGGCGGCGUGCCUAAUACAUGCAAGUCGAGCGAACAGACGAGGAGCUUGCUCCUCUGACGUUAGCGGCGGACGGGUGAGUAACACGUGGAUAACCUACCUAUAAGACUGGGAUAACUUCGGGAAACCGGAGCUAAUACCGGAUAAUAUAUUGAACCGCAUGGUUCAAUAGUGAAAGACGGUUUUGCUGUCACUUAUAGAUGGAUCCGCGCCGCAUUAGCUAGUUGGUAAGGUAACGGCUUACCAAGGCAACGAUGCGUAGCCGACCUGAGAGGGUGAUCGGCCACACUGGAACUGAGACACGGUCCAGACUCCUACGGGAGGCAGCAGUAGGGAAUCUUCCGCAAUGGGCGAAAGCCUGACGGAGCAACGCCGCGUGAGUGAUGAAGGUCUUCGGAUCGUAAAACUCUGUUAUUAGGGAAGAACAAAUGUGUAAGUAACUAUGCACGUCUUGACGGUACCUAAUCAGAGAGCCACGGCUAACUACGUG
This 497-nucleotide ribosomal RNA is filed under the name uncultured bacterium. RNAcentral describes it as "partial 16S ribosomal RNA". It matches the Rfam family "Bacterial small subunit ribosomal RNA", at positions 28 to 507 of the family's 1533-position model. The record is from RNAcentral.